Molecule: long non-coding RNA, 572 nt
Organism: Bos taurus (domestic cattle)
Lineage: Eukaryota; Metazoa; Chordata; Mammalia; Artiodactyla; Bovidae
Source: Ensembl
UGCGCGGUUCGAUGAGGUCACGGCAGGCAGGAGGGUAAGGACUCCAAGAACCGCAGCAGCAGCAUCGGGGGCCCAGGACCCGGACCCGGACCGGGAUGCGCCCCGGAAGCCAGCGGCUCCUGGCGGUAGCGAGGAGUGGUUAAGUGCAGCUGAGUUGUUCCUUGGGAGAUAUAUUCAACAACUGCAGUGUUCUUGGUGAUGUUUUAAAAAGAAAUGGGAUGAACAGAGUUCCCAGUGGAGCUGAGGGAGGAGCUGGAUUUGCCCUGGAAUGCUAUCCACCAGGACAAUUCCCAUAAUCUAGAGUGUACCAUACAGGAAGCAUGGCUGAGUCACAGACAUGGCCAUCAGCAAUCUCCAGGACUCAUUCGAAGACUUGGUAUGUACCCAGAAGUAGAAUUGCUAGAUCAUAUGGAAGAGAUACCCCAGGUCCAAGAUAAGAGAAACCCAAGUAAGAUGGUAGGUGUUGCAAGAGGGCAUCAGAGGGCAGACACACUGAAACCAUAAUCACAGAAAACUAGUCAAUCUGAUCACAUGGACCACAGCCUUGUCUAACUCAAUGAAACUAAGCCAGG